This 429-nucleotide ribosomal RNA is filed under the name Acidobacteriota bacterium. Its description in RNAcentral is "Acidobacteria bacterium partial 16S ribosomal RNA". It matches the Rfam family "Bacterial small subunit ribosomal RNA", at positions 355 to 776 of the family's 1533-position model. The record is from RNAcentral. Lineage: Bacteria; Pseudomonadati; Acidobacteriota.
UGGGGAAUUUUGGACAAUGGGGGAAACCCUGAUCCAGCCAUCCCGCGUGUGCGAUGAAGGCCUUCGGGUUGUAAAGCACUUUUGGCAGGAAAGAAACGUCAUGGGUUAAUACCCCGUGAAACUGACGGUACCUGCAGAAUAAGCACCGGCUAACUACGUGCCAGCAGCCGCGGUAAUACGUUGGGUGCAAGCGUUAAUCGGAAUUACUGGGCGUAAAGCGUGCGGAGGGGGUUCGGAAAGAAAGAUGUGAAAUCCCAGAGCUCAACUUUGGAACUGCAUUUUUAACUACCGGGCUAGAGUGUGUCAGAGGGAGGUGGAAUUCCGCGUGUAGCAGUGAAAUGCGUAGAUAUGCGGAGGAACACCGAUGGCGAAGGCAGCCUCCUGGGAUAACACUGACGCUCAUGCACGAAAGCGUGGGGAGCAAACAGG